Armillaria nabsnona is the source of this 128-nucleotide non-coding RNA. The record is from the annotation of a GenBank genome assembly. NCBI's taxonomy places the organism in Eukaryota, Fungi, Basidiomycota, Agaricomycetes, Agaricales, Physalacriaceae.
GGUAACAUGGCCGAGUGGUCUAAGGCGCUGGAAUUAGGCUCGGCACCGAUCGAUCACUAAUAAUCGAUCGAUCGAUCGCUUAUGUAAUCCAGUCCUCCGGGGCGUGAGUUCGAACCUCACUGUUAUCA